AGAGUUUGAUCCUGGCUCAGAUUGAACGCUGGCGGUAUGCUUAACACAUGCAAGUCGAACGGAAACGAUACUAGCUUGCUAGUAGGCGUCGAGUGGCGGACGGGUGAGUAACGCGUAGGAAUCUACCAGAUAGUGGGGGAUAGCCCGGAGAAAUUCGGAUUAAUACCGCAUAAUNUCUACGGAGUAAAGGAGGCCUCUAUUUAUAUGCUUUCGCUAUCUGAUGAGCCUGCGUAAGAUUAGCUAGUUGGUGAGGUAAAAGCUCACCAAGGCGACGAUCUUUAGCUGGUCUGAGAGGAUGAUCAGCCACACUGGGACUGAGACACGGCCCAGACUCCUACGGGAGGCAGCAGUGGGGAAUAUUGGACAAUGGGGGCAACCCUGAUCCAGCAAUACCGCGUGUGUGAAGAAGGCCUGAGGGUUGUAAAGCACUUUCAAUUGUGAAGAAAAGUUAAUAGUUAAUAA
This 462-nucleotide ribosomal RNA is filed under the name uncultured marine bacterium. RNAcentral's name for it is "bacterial SSU rRNA". It matches the Rfam family "Bacterial small subunit ribosomal RNA", at positions 8 to 467 of the family's 1533-position model. The record is from RNAcentral.